UUUAUAUCUUGACUGCGAACGGCUCAUUAAAUCAGUUAUAAUCUACUUGAUUGUAAAAUCUACAUGGAUAACUGUAGUAAUUCUAGAGCUAAUACAUGCAAAAAAUCCUGACUGUUAUGGAAAGGAUGUAUUUAUUAGGUACAAAAUCAAUGCUGGCACUUGUGUCAGGUUUAUUGAUGAUUCAUAAUAACUAAACGAAGCGCACGACCUUGAGUUGGCGCUGAUACAAACGAGUUUCUGCCCUAUCAACUUUCGAUGGUAGUAUAGAGGACUACCAUGGUUUCAACGGGUAACGGGG
RNAcentral lists this ribosomal RNA (298 nucleotides) under uncultured fungus. Its description in RNAcentral is "partial 18S ribosomal RNA". It matches the Rfam family "Eukaryotic small subunit ribosomal RNA", at positions 75 to 367 of the family's 1831-position model. The record is from RNAcentral. Lineage: Eukaryota; Fungi.